UCUUUUGAAUUAAUUUAAGAUCAGGCCUGCCCAUUGAUUUUAUAAUUAAAAGGCUGCGGUAUUUUAACUGUACGAAGGUAGCAUAAUCACUUGUCUUUUAAUUGAAGGCUAGAAUGAAUGGUUUGAUGAAAGAUAAGCUUUCUUUAUUUUAAUUAAAUUGAAUUUAAUUUUUUAGUUAAAAAGCUAAAAUUUUUUUAUAGGACGAGAAGACCCUAUAGAAGUUGACUUUAUUUAAAAUUUUUUAUUUUUAGUUUUUAAAAUAAUUUCUUUGACUAUAAAGUUUUGUUGGGGUGACAUUAAAAUUUAUUUAACUUUUAUUUUUAAUAUUCAUUAAUUUAUGUUUUUUUGAUCCUUUAUUUAUUGAUUAAAAGUUUAACUUACCUUAGGGAUAACAGCGUAAUUUUUUCGGAGAGAUCUUAUU
RNAcentral lists this ribosomal RNA (421 nucleotides) under Limnometra fluviorum. RNAcentral describes it as "partial 16S large subunit ribosomal RNA". Lineage: Eukaryota; Metazoa; Arthropoda; Insecta; Hemiptera; Gerridae. The record is from RNAcentral.